Molecule: transfer RNA, 72 nt
Filed under: Bos taurus (domestic cattle)
Lineage: Eukaryota; Metazoa; Chordata; Mammalia; Artiodactyla; Bovidae
Also listed under: 2 other names
Rfam family: tRNA
About the family: Transfer RNA (tRNA) molecules are approximately 80 nucleotides in length.
Source: Rfam by way of RNAcentral
UCCCUGAUAGCUCAGUUGGUAAAGAAUCUGCCUGCAAUGCGGGAGACCCCGGUUCGAUUCCUGGGUUGGGAA